ACGUAGGGGGCGAGCGUUGUCCGGAGUUACUGGGCGUAAAGCGCACGCAGGCGGUCCUGCGCGUUCGUGGUCACAGCUCCCGGCUUCACUGGGAGAGCGUCACGAAAACGGCAGGACUUGAGGACUCAAGAGGGAACGGGAACUCCUGGUGGAGCGGUGAAAUGCGUAGAGAUCAGGAAGAACACCAAAGGCGAAGGCACGUUCCUGGGGAGUGACUGACGCUGAUGUGCGAGAGCUAGGGGAGCAAACGGGAUUAGAUACCCCGGUAGUCCUAGCCGUAAACGAUGACCACCAGGUGUAGGAGGUAUCGACCCCUUCUGUGCCGGCGCUAACGCUUUGAGUGGUCCGCCUGGGGAGUACGGUCGCAAGAUUA
RNAcentral lists this ribosomal RNA (373 nucleotides) under uncultured bacterium. RNAcentral describes it as "bacterial SSU rRNA". It matches the Rfam family "Bacterial small subunit ribosomal RNA", at positions 525 to 896 of the family's 1533-position model. The record is from RNAcentral.